Molecule: ribosomal RNA, 698 nt
Filed under: Neofusicoccum eucalyptorum
Lineage: Eukaryota; Fungi; Ascomycota; Dothideomycetes; Botryosphaeriales; Botryosphaeriaceae
Description: eukaryotic LSU rRNA
Rfam family: 5.8S ribosomal RNA (bases 209-362)
Source: RNAcentral
UUCCGUAGGGGAACCUGCGGAAGGAUCAUUACCGAGUUGACUCGAGCUCCGGCUCGACUCUCCCACCCUAUGUGUACCUACCUCUGUUGCUUUGGCGGGCCGCGGUCCUCCGCACCGGCUCCCUUUGGGGGCUGGCCAGCGUCCGCCAGAGGACCACAAAACUCCAGUCAGUAAACGUUGCAGUCUGAAAAACAAGUUAAUAAACUAAAACUUUCAACAACGGAUCUCUUGGUUCUGGCAUCGAUGAAGAACGCAGCGAAAUGCGAUAAGUAAUGUGAAUUGCAGAAUUCAGUGAAUCAUCGAAUCUUUGAACGCACAUUGCGCCCCUUGGUAUUCCGAGGGGCAUGCCUGUUCGAGCGUCAUUUCAACCCUCAAGCUUUGCUUGGUAUUGGGCCCCGUCCUCUGUGGACGCGCCUCAAAGACCUCGGCGGUGGCGUCUUGCCUCAAGCGUAGUAGAAAUCACCUCGCUUUGGAGCGCAUGGCGUCGCCCGCCGGACGAACCUUUGAAUUUUUCUCAAGGUUGACCUCGGAUCAGGUAGGGAUACCCGCUGAACUUAAGCAUAUCAAUAAGGCGGAGGAAGGAUCAUUACCGAGUUGACUCGAGCUCCGGCUCGACUCUCCCACCCUAUGUGUACCUACCUCUGUUGCUUUGGCGGGGCGCGGUCCUCCGCACCGGCUCCUUUGGGGGCUGGCCAGCG